This 568-nucleotide long non-coding RNA is filed under the name Phoenix dactylifera (date palm). Its description in RNAcentral is "long non-coding RNA (PDAC_LNC008004)". The record is from RNAcentral. Lineage: Eukaryota; Viridiplantae; Streptophyta; Magnoliopsida; Arecales; Arecaceae.
UGACCAAAUUAUCCCUGGAUGAUUCUUGAUCGUCCAACAGCCUUUAUGAUCAAUCUAGAAAACUUCUAUGCGUGUGACCCCAUAGGCUUGAACCUAAGCCGGUAGCACAGGAAUAACUUUCUAUACUAAUCGAUGUAACCAUCUAGCAAUGGUACCCGACGUCUGAAUAGGCCGAAUAUAUGCGAAGCAAUAUUCAGGAACUCUGGACUAUGGUUACCGUAUAAUUCAUCCCUAUGACUCCUAAUGCCAGGAUGAGAUCAGAGUUCUGUCAACUCUGUAAUAGUACAUCCACUCUGUGAUUCAACUUUAAAAAUUCUGUGACUCCUCACAAGGAUUACCCUGGUCAAGAUUUUGCUAAAUUGAACAUAAGGGCAUUAUCUCCUGUCACCAGGAGGAGUCAAUUCCAUCUUGACUCACACACCGACUUCGCAAGUACUUGACUGUACCCAAUGACCUUCCAACCCUGAAUUAGAAAUUCAGCUAGUCCGAUAUCAAAAUACCGUAAGUUGCUUGCUAAUUCUAUGGUGAUCUCAGGUCUGAGGGACAUAUAUACCUAUAUCCACUCAAA